ACUGAGAUUCGAAAAUGAGUGGUUCCAUAUGAAUUGACAACUUAUGCAGAUGUGGUAAACAAAGCACUGAUAAUUGAAAGAGAAGUCAAUGAAGAACGCAUGGAAAGAGAAAAAAAGCAAAGAAAGAGAGCAAAAUCAAAUGAUACACAAGGGUAGAAUAAUAAAAACAUCAAAAGUUCAGCUAAGGGAGCAAUAGAUAAUAAGACUCAAUAGAUUGAUGGUGAGCGGUGCUCCAGAUGUGGCAAAAAUCAUGCGGAGAAGGAUUGCCAUUGGAAUACAGGUGUUUGUUUCAAAUGCGGUCAGAUGGAUCAUAAAAUUGCUAGCUGCCCACUAAAUACUGAAAAUCAAGUUGGCCAAAGAACUUAUGAAGGACAAAACAAGAGUGGUGAAUAGAUUUCUAAAAUCCAGAGAAGAGUUUAUGCUCUUACUCAAUAGAACGUACAGGCUUCCAAUGCAAUGGUGACAGGUAAGAAAAAUUUCGAGGACGAAAUUUAUUUUAGGAGGGAAGAAUGUAGUACUCGGCCCAUGUAGGCCUUAAACCCAAAAGUCUAAAAAAAAAAAAAUUUAAAGAAGACUCCCUGUGGGAGUCUUCUUCCCCCGUCGAUGACUCCUAAUCGGAGUCAGAAAGGCCGCCGGGGAGGAGUCAAACUCCUCCCCUCCGACUCUAUUUAAGGGGGGACCUUUCUCCCUUCCUCCCAUCAUGAAAACUCAGAGCGAAACGGCGAAGAUCGCUAGAAAUCGUCCGUGAAAAUCAUCACCGUGCUCGCCGCGAUUCCUCACUGGAGAGGUCGUCGGAGCUCGAGGUAAGCAUAUGGUUCUCUUUCUCUCUUCUCUCCCUUCCUUCCUAUGCCGGUGUGCACGUUCGCCGGCGACCGGAGUUGUCGGAUUUUGUCGUGGGAGAGGUUUCGAUUUUUCUGAUUUUCGGACGCCGGUGGUCGUCGCCGGCCAUCGAUUUGGGUUCCUUCGGAUGGCGAUGCGCUUUCCUCCGGCUGCCGACCAUUCUCGUGCCGGCCGACCGCCGAUCGGCCAACCUUAUGAGGGGACCAUUCGGUCCCCUGUUUCACUUAUUUCACCCAUGGGAGGCCAUGGGAAGAAGUAGAAGAAGGA
This 1107-nucleotide long non-coding RNA is filed under the name Elaeis guineensis (African oil palm). Its description in RNAcentral is "long non-coding RNA (EGUI_LNC037699)". Lineage: Eukaryota; Viridiplantae; Streptophyta; Magnoliopsida; Arecales; Arecaceae. The record is from RNAcentral.